Molecule: non-coding RNA, 73 nt
Organism: Potamilus streckersoni
Lineage: Eukaryota; Metazoa; Mollusca; Bivalvia; Unionida; Unionidae
Source: the annotation of a GenBank genome assembly
CGCUCAGGUGGCCUAGUGGUUAUAGCAUCCGCCUUGGAAGCGGGAGGUGGCGGGUUCGAACUCAGCCGAGUCA